Camellia sinensis is the source of this 643-nucleotide non-coding RNA. NCBI's taxonomy places the organism in Eukaryota, Viridiplantae, Streptophyta, Magnoliopsida, Ericales, Theaceae. The record is from RefSeq and is a predicted model, not a curated record.
AUGGCCACUGUUGUAGAUAAUGAAGUCAUGAGAUCUAUUACACAUUUGCUGCUAGAAGAAGACAAAUCCCCGAAGUAAUCAAGCCAACCAGGGAGGUACAUAGGCAUGUAUUUGCUUCUCAUAAUUGCUUGGACCAAAACAUAAGCAAUUCCAUCCAAGUUCAUGAUUACAUUCUAUGAUUCACAAACAAGCAAGCUGGGGUAGUUUGUUCGUAGACCUGUUUCAUCUAUGUCUACAGGUCUUCUAUGUACAUGUGGUGUGUUAUGCUCCAGUCUACACAAGAUACGAACUGAGUAUAGAAGGUUUUCUUUAAAGAACGUUCUAGUUCAGGUUAUUGACAACCGGGGCUGGGGUUCUGACAAAGAGAGAGAGAGAGAGAGAGUUGUAAACUAUUUAGGUGUUUUAUCUUGGAAAGUAUAAUUUUAUUGACUACAAAGGCUGGGCAUAGAAGCUUUCCUAAACCAUAGGAUGUAUGUUAAACAAUAUUCUUAUUUACAUUCACCUGUCCAUCUCUCUUAUUUUUAUUUUAUUCUGGUUAAAGCUAGGGAAAAUUAUUAGAAAGUCCCAUUUCACAAACUGUUGCACCAUGUGAUCCCACAUUUUUUCUGUUAGAUUGGCAAGUCCUGUUGCUGUGUUCUUUUAA